GUGUCAGCCGCCGCGGUAAUACGUAGGGUGCGAGCGUUAAUCGGAAUUACUGGGCGUAAAGCGUGCGCAGGCGGUUCGCUAAGACAGGUGUGAAAUCCCCGGGCUUAACCUGGGCAUGGCGCUUGUGACUGGCGGGCUGGAGUACGGCAGAGGGGGGUGGAAUUCCACGUGUAGCAGUGAAAUGCGUAGAGAUGUGGAGGAACACCGAUGGCGAAGGCAGCCCCCUGGGCCGCUACUGACGCUCAUGCACGAAAGCGUGGGGAGCAAACAGGAUUAGAAACCCGCGUAGUCC
RNAcentral lists this ribosomal RNA (292 nucleotides) under uncultured bacterium. RNAcentral describes it as "partial 16S ribosomal RNA". It matches the Rfam family "Bacterial small subunit ribosomal RNA", at positions 505 to 796 of the family's 1533-position model. The record is from RNAcentral.